RNAcentral lists this ribosomal RNA (371 nucleotides) under Staphylococcus aureus. RNAcentral's name for it is "partial 23S ribosomal RNA". It matches the Rfam family "Bacterial large subunit ribosomal RNA", at positions 1 to 365 of the family's 2925-position model. Lineage: Bacteria; Bacillati; Bacillota; Bacilli; Caryophanales; Staphylococcaceae. The record is from RNAcentral.
GAUUAAGUUAUUAAGGGCGCACGGUGGAUGCCUUGGCACUAGAAGCCGAUGAAGGACGUUACUAACGACGAUAUGCUUUGGGGAGCUGUAAGUAAGCUUUGAUCCAGAGAUUUCCGAAUGGGGAAACCCAGCAUGAGUUAUGUCAUGUUAUCGAUAUGUGAAUACAUAGCAUAUCAGAAGGCACACCCGGAGAACUGAAACAUCUUAGUACCCGGAGGAAGAGAAAGAAAAUUCGAUUCCCUUAGUAGCGGCGAGCGAAACGGGAAGAGCCCAAACCAACAAGCUUGCUUGUUGGGGUUGUAGGACACUCUAUACGGAGUUACAAAGGACGACAUUAGACGAAUCAUCUGGAAAGAUGAAUCAAAGAAGGU